Molecule: ribosomal RNA, 920 nt
Filed under: Dendrodacrys pezizoideum
Lineage: Eukaryota; Fungi; Basidiomycota; Dacrymycetes; Dacrymycetales; Dacrymycetaceae
Description: Guepinia pezizoidea partial large subunit ribosomal RNA
Source: RNAcentral
UGGCAUCAGAUCAGGUAGGACUACCCGCUGAACUUAAGCAUAUCAAUAAGCGGAGGAAGAGAAACUAACAAGGAUUCCGCUAGUAACUGCGAGUGAAGCGGGAAGAGCUCAAAUUUGAAAGCUGGCGACCGCCCGCGUUGUAGCCUAGAGAAGUGCAUUCGGCCGUCGGCUCGGAAAAGUCCCUUGGAACAGGGUGUCGUAGAGGGUGAGAACCCCGUCUUUGCCGAGGCCCCGACGUCCAUGUGAAGCGCUCUCGAAGAGCCGAGUCGUUUGGGAAUGCAGCUCAAAACGGGUGGUAAACUCCAUCUAAAGCUAAAUACUGGCGAGAGACCGACAAGUACGGUGAGGGAAAGAUGAAAAGCACUUUGGAAAGAGAGUUAAAGAGUACGUGAAAUCGUUGAAAGGGAAGCGCUUGGAGUCAGCCGCGUCCGCGACGGGUCAGCCGUCAAGGUGCACUCCGCCGCGGACGGGCCAACAUCGAUUUCGGGCGCGGGAGAAGGGCGUGCGGGAAUGUGGCAGCCUCGGCUGUGUUUAUAGCCCGCCGUCGUACGCCCUGCCCGGGAUCGAGGACCGCCGUCUUCGGACGCAGGAUGUUGGCGUAAUGGCUCUAAGCGACCCGUCUUGAAACACGGACCAAGGAGUCUAACAUGUGUGYGAGUGUUUGGGUGUKGAAACCCAUGCGCGGAAUGAAAGUGAACGCAGGUGGGAGGCCUCGGCCGCACCAUCGACCGAUCCGGAUCUCUUGGGAUGGAUUUGAGUGAGAGCACGUAYGUUGGGACCCGAAAGAUGGUGAACUAUGCCUGCAUAGGGCGAAGCCAGAGGAAACUCUGGUGGAGGCUCGUAGCGAUUCUGACGUGCAAAUCGAUCGUCGAAUGUGGGUAUAGGGGCGAAAGACUAAUCGAACCAUCUAGUAGCUGGUU